This 201-nucleotide ribosomal RNA is filed under the name uncultured prokaryote. RNAcentral's name for it is "partial 16S ribosomal RNA". It matches the Rfam family "Bacterial small subunit ribosomal RNA", at positions 524 to 724 of the family's 1533-position model. The record is from RNAcentral.
UACGUAGGCAGCAAGCGUUGUUCGGAAUUACUGGGUGUAAAGGGUUCGUAGGCGGUGUGGCAAGUCGGGAGUGAAAUCUCUGGGCUUAACCCAGAGGCUGCUUCCAAAACUGCUGUGCUUGAGUGUGGGAGAGGCGCGUGGAAUUGCAGGUGUAGCGGUGAAAUGCGUAGAUAUCUGCAGGAACACCCGUGGCGAAAGCGG